AUGGACAUGCUGGCAACUAGAACCACAUGGUUGGCCAUAGGUAUCCUUUUCAUAAUUGUAGUAGGCACCAAGAUUUUAAGAUGGAAAAGCAGUGUCCAUCCAUUGUCCACAAGACCACCUCCACCUAUCGUGAAUGUCCUUGGUCUCUUACCUUCACUCUUUAUCAAGGGUUUUGGGGUUACAAUCAAUGAUUUGUACACAAAGUUUGGCAGUGUAUUUACAGUAAGUUUGUUUGGACCAAAGAUAACCUUGUUGGUUGGACCAGAGGUCUCAACUCAUUUCUUCCAAGGGUUGGAGUCAGAUAUUGACGUUCGUAAAUUUAUGGAGGUCACCAUUCCCAUCUUUGGCCAAGAAGUUUUUUAUGGUGUAGAUACCGCAACUUGCAGUGAACAAUUAAACUUCAUCGUUGAUGCGCUAAAGCCUUCCAAGCUGCGGAGCCUCGUUGAUCCCAUGUCUCAAGAAGUAGAGGCCUACUUUGCAAAGUGGGGACAAGAUGGCAUAGUUGACCUUAAACAUGAACUCGAGCAGGUACUCAUGUUUAUCUCAAGUCGGUGCCUACUCGGAUAUGAGGUUCGAGACAUGAUGCUGGAAGAAGUAUACUCAUUAUUCCAUGACCUUGCAAAUGGCUUGAACUUUCUCAGUUUCUUGUUCCCAUAUACUACAACCCCGAGAAACCGCCGACGAGACAAGGCACACAUCAGGCUGAAAGAAAUUUUCACUGCAACCAUCAGGUCACGUAGAAGCUCCGGCCGAGUCGAGGACGAUGCACUGCAGAGGUUGAUGAAUUCCAAGUACAAAGAUGGUCGCUUUACAACCGAAGCAGAAAUUUCUGGCAUGAUCAUGGGCCUCGUCGUUGCCGGACACAUCUCAAGCACUAGCACUAGUACAUGGACUGGAGCUUGCAUGUUGAGCAACACCAAGUUCUUAAUAGCUGCCAUGGAGGAGCAAAAACAUAUCAUUAGCAAGUACAAGAACCAAAUAGGCUACGAAGCCUUGUCGGAGAUGGAUACCCUGCAUAGAUGCAUCAAGGAGGCAAUUAGAAUGCAUACAUCAGCACCAGUUUUAGUUCGCAAGGCACAUACAAAAUUCAGGGUGCAUACCAAGGAAGGCGAGGAAUAUGACAUACCUGGGGGGCAUAAUAUUCUAGUCCCUACUGCACUCAACAAUAAGCUAGCACACAUUUACAGUGACCCUCAUCUGUAUGACCCGGAUCGGUUUGGCCCUGGAAGAGAGGAGGACAAAGUUGGUGGCAAGUACUCUUUCACAACAUUUGGUGGUGGAAGGCAUGUUUGCCCUGGCAUGGCCUUGGCAUACCUACAAAUUAAGGUGAUAUGGAGCCAUUUGUUAAGAAAUUUUGAGCUCAAGCUAAUAUCUUCAUUCCCUAAGGCUGAUGGGAGCAAGAUGAACCAAGAGCCUAAAGGAAAAGUAAUGAUAAGUUAUAAGCGACAUCAACUUCUGUGA
Molecule: ribosomal RNA, 1461 nt
Filed under: Triticum aestivum (bread wheat)
Lineage: Eukaryota; Viridiplantae; Streptophyta; Magnoliopsida; Poales; Poaceae
Description: partial small subunit ribosomal RNA
Source: RNAcentral